This 492-nucleotide ribosomal RNA is filed under the name uncultured bacterium. RNAcentral describes it as "partial 16S ribosomal RNA". It matches the Rfam family "Bacterial small subunit ribosomal RNA", at positions 29 to 507 of the family's 1533-position model. The record is from RNAcentral.
AGUGAACGCUGGCGGUAGGCCUAACACAUGCAAGUCGAACGGCAGCACAGUAAGAGCUUGCUCUUACGGGUGGCGAGUGGCGGACGGGUGAGGAAUACAUCGGAAUCUACUUUUUCGUGGGGGAUAACGUAGGGAAACUUACGCUAAUACCGCAUACGACCUACGGGUGAAAGCAGGGGAUCUUCGGACCUUGCGCGAUUGAAUGAGCCGAUGUCGGAUUAGCUAGUUGGCGGGGUAAAGGCCCACCAAGGCGACGAUCCGUAGCUGGUCUGAGAGGAUGAUCAGCCACACUGGAACUGGGACACGGUCCAGACUCCUACGGGAGGCAGCAGUGGGGAAUAUUGGACAAUGGGCGCAAGCCUGAUCCAGCCAUACCGCGUGGGUGAAGAAGGCCUUCGGGUUGUAAAGCCCUUUCGUUGGGAAAGAAAAGCAGCAGGUUAAUACCCCGCUGUUCUGACGGUACCCAAAGAAUAAGCACCGGCUAACUUCGUG